CGAGCGGCGGACGGGUGAGUAAUGCAUAGGAAUCUGCCCGAUAGUGGGGGAUAACCUGGGGAAACCCAGGCUAAUACCGCAUACGUCCUACGGGAGAAAGGGGGCUCCGGCUCCCGCUAUCGGAUGAGCCUAUGUCGGAUUAGCUAGUUGGUGAGGUAAAGGCUCACCAAGGCGACGAUCCGUAGCUGGUCUGAGAGGAUGAUCAGCCACAUCGGGACUGAGACACGGCCCGAACUCCUACGGGAGGCAGCAGUGGGGAAUAUUGGACAAUGGGGGGAACCCUGAUCCAGCCAUGCCGCGUGUGUGAAGAAGGCCCUCGGGUUGUAAAGCACUUUCAGUGAGGAAGAACGCCUGGUGGUUAAUACCCAUCAGGAAAGACAUCACUCACAGAAGAAGCACCGGCUAACUCCGUGCCAGCAGCCGCGGUAAUACGGAGGGUGCGAGCGUUAAUCGGAAUUACUGGGCGUAAAGCGCGCGUAGGUGGCUUGAUAAGCCGGUUGUGAAAGCCCCGGGCUCAACCUGGGAACGGCAUCCGGAACUGUCAAGCUAGAGUGCAGGAGAGGAAGGUAGAAUUCCCGGUGUAGCGGUGAAAUGCGUAGAGAUCGGGAGGAAUACCAGUGGCGAAGGCGCCUUCUGGACUGACACUGACACUGAGGUGCGAAAGCGUGGGUAGCAAACAGGAUUAGAUACCUGGUAGUCCACGCCGUAAACGAUGUCGACCAGCCGUUGGGUGCCUAGCGCACUUGUGGC
Molecule: ribosomal RNA, 750 nt
Filed under: bacterium 28W515
Lineage: Bacteria
Description: bacterial SSU rRNA
Rfam family: Bacterial small subunit ribosomal RNA
Source: RNAcentral